This 99-nucleotide non-coding RNA is filed under the name Enterococcus hermanniensis. RNAcentral describes it as "TPP sequence". It matches the Rfam family "TPP riboswitch aptamer (THI element)". From Rfam's summary of the family: Vitamin B(1) in its active form thiamin pyrophosphate (TPP) is an essential coenzyme that is synthesised by coupling of pyrimidine and thiazole moieties in bacteria. Lineage: Bacteria; Bacillati; Bacillota; Bacilli; Lactobacillales; Enterococcaceae. The record is from Rfam by way of RNAcentral.
ACUUUCACAAAGGGGAGCCCACGGGCUGAGAUUGAGUUUACUCUAAACCCUAGUACCUGUUUCGGUUAUUCGAGCGUAGGAAUUGUGAUGAAGUAAUAC